This 73-nucleotide transfer RNA is filed under the name Camelus bactrianus (Bactrian camel). It matches the Rfam family "tRNA". Rfam says of the family: Transfer RNA (tRNA) molecules are approximately 80 nucleotides in length. Their secondary structure includes four short double-helical elements and three loops (D, anti-codon, and T loops). Further hydrogen bonds mediate the characteristic L-shaped molecular structure. tRNAs have two regions of fundamental functional importance: the anti-codon, which is responsible for specific mRNA codon recognition, and the 3' end, to which the tRNAs corresponding amino acid is attached (by aminoacyl-tRNA synthetases). tRNAs cope with the degeneracy of the genetic code in two manners: having more than one tRNA (with a specific anti-codon) for a particular amino acid; and 'wobble' base-pairing, i.e. permitting non-standard base-pairing at the 3rd anti-codon position. RNAcentral also lists the same sequence under 2 other names. The record is from Rfam by way of RNAcentral. Lineage: Eukaryota; Metazoa; Chordata; Mammalia; Artiodactyla; Camelidae.
GAGGGUAUAGCUCAGUGGUAGAGCACAUGCUUAGCAAGCAGGACAGUCUUGGGUUCAACCACCAGUACCUCCA